RNAcentral lists this ribosomal RNA (250 nucleotides) under uncultured bacterium. RNAcentral describes it as "partial 16S ribosomal RNA". It matches the Rfam family "Bacterial small subunit ribosomal RNA", at positions 524 to 773 of the family's 1533-position model. The record is from RNAcentral.
UACGUAGGUGGCAAGCGUUAUCCGGAUUUACUGGGUGUAAAGGGCGUGUAGGCGGGGAUGCAAGUCAGAUGUGAAAUUCCGAGGCUUAACCUCGGGGCUGCAUCUGAAACUGUAUCUCUUGAGUGCUGGAGAGGGAAGCGGAAUUCCUAGUGUAGCGGUGAAAUGCGUAGAUAUUAGGAGGAACACCAGUGGCGAAGGCGGCUUUCUGGACAGUAACUGACGCUGAGGCGCGAAAGCGUGGGGAGCAAAC